Molecule: long non-coding RNA, 1264 nt
Filed under: Macaca mulatta (Rhesus monkey)
Lineage: Eukaryota; Metazoa; Chordata; Mammalia; Primates; Cercopithecidae
Description: lncRNA (ENSMMUG00000050771.1)
Source: RNAcentral
CAGCCCCACAGCACAUCUGAUAUCGCUGAUGUGCUUUUCCUGUGUGAUAAAUGGACACCGUAGCUUAGUAUUUAGGGACCAGACAAGCUGAGUUCAAAUCCCUCCUCUGCCUAUUCCUGGAUGUUUCUGUUUCCUCUCUGCAAAUGGAGCUAUGAGUAAUAACAUAUCACGGCAUUGUUGAAAGGCUUAGAUCAUCUAAUGCAGCUACAGUGAUUAGAACAGGACCUAAUCUCAAAGGGUGCAAUAAACAGUAGCUCUUAUUUUUACUACGAACGGCAAGUGCAGAGGAUACUAUGCUUUUCUGUCAGCUCAGGAAACUGGGUAGCUGAGAUGUAAAUGACACGUCCAAGGUCACCCAGAAAACACACAGCAGAGCCAGGAUUUGAACUCAGGCCCAGCUGAGCCAAAGCCUACUUUCUUUGUGUCACCAUGCACCACCUCCUUCCACAUCUAGCCCUGGGAGUGUGUGAUCGCUGGGGCUGGGGGCUGCUGAGUGCUGGGAUAGGGGAUAGCAUUUUACCAGGGUCCUGGGGGCUAGUGGCUGACCAGAUCCAUGCCCUCCUUUCCCUAGCCUAAUGCUGCAGAUCUCAAGAUGUCAAAAGGGGUGAUGUCAGACAGUCAUGCUGGGUGGGAAUGGCUCUGAAAGCCUGCAGCCCCUUCCCUUCCCCGCAUGGAGCCUCAGCUUCCUCGCCUGUAGGUUGGGAUGAUCCGACAGAGGCGUUGUGAGUCUCAGCUGAGCUAUAACUCGUGAGAAAGCUUUUCGGACACAUAGAAGGCGAGGCCUCCCAGGUUGGAGGACAGGAAAGGAGCCCGUCUGAGUGGGGAAGGGAGCUGGCCGUGUCCACAGCUUCCAGCCCUCGGCCUCAGCCCCGGCCCACAGCUGGGCCUGGACUCCUGCUCGUGGCCGCCCCUCUCACGAGUCUGCGGGGAUUUCUCUGCUCCAGGCUGACCCCUUCCUUGUGGAGGAGGCUUCUGUUGCCGGAGUUGAAUCUCUGCAAUUGUCUGGCUUCUGCAGUGAUGCCGGGGGAAUUAAAUAUAGCUGCAGUAUGUACAAGACAUACCCUGCAGUGGGGGAACACCAUCAGGUGGGUCCCGCUGGGGCUGGGGACAUGGGAACCAAUAAUGUGUGUGGAACACUUAGUGGGGGCCAAGCCCAGGGCUCAGCAUGAUCACACUGAAUCCGUACAGCAGCCCCGCCAGGCAGGCACUCUGGAGCUUGUGACUUAACUUCCGCAUUCUGCUGCUUCUCUUUAGAAGAAUCGUA